UUUUCCAGCUGGGACUAAUUUCACUUUUCCAUCAAGACCUUUAUGCAGAAAAUAUUGAAUGAGGAAAUAUUCCCUCCGCAGGGAAUACCUCCAAGGACAGUAAUGGAAGAUGAUUAUCUGACAACAAGAGCAGUGACCACACGGUUCAGCUGUUUCCCAAAUGGAGAUUUGACCUUCAUGAUGAUCUCUGAGUGUGAUUUCAUUAAAGGAACCAGCGGGUUCCUUGUACUGUUUAACUGGAACGGUACAAGGGUGAAAAGUCUCCAGCUCUGCAGAACUGCUAACAGUAACCAGGUCAUGCAAGCCACAUCCAAGACAGAGGCGUACAGAGAAAUGUUUCCAGUCUUGGCUCUUCUACUAAUUAGCUGA
This 369-nucleotide long non-coding RNA is filed under the name Felis catus (domestic cat). Its description in RNAcentral is "lncRNA (ENSFCAG00000044824.2)". The record is from RNAcentral. Lineage: Eukaryota; Metazoa; Chordata; Mammalia; Carnivora; Felidae.